GAUGAACGCUAGCUACAGGCUUAACACAUGACAAGUCGAGGGGCAUCAGGAAGAAAGCUUGCUUUCUUUGCUGGCGACCGGCGCACGGGUGAGUAACACGUAUCCAACCUGCCUUUACUCGGGGAUAGCCUUUCGAAAGAAAGAUUAAUACCCGAUAGCAUAAUGAUUCCGCAUGGUUUCAUUAUUAAAGGAUUCCGGUAAAGGAUGGGGAUGCGUUCCAUUAGGUUGUUGGUGAGGUAACGGCCCACCAAGCCUUCGAUGGAUAGGGGUUCUGAGAGGAAGGUCCCCCACAUUGGAACUGAGACACGGUCCAAACUCCUACGGGAGGCAGCAGUGAGGAAUAUUGGUCAAUGGGCGAGAGCCUGAACCAGCCAAGUAGCGUGAAGGAUGACUGCCCUAUGGGUUGUAAACUUCUUUUAUAAAGGAAUAAAGUCGGGUAUGGAUACCCGUUUGCAUGUACUUUAUGAAUAAGGAUCGGCUAACUCCGUG
Molecule: ribosomal RNA, 489 nt
Filed under: uncultured bacterium
Lineage: Bacteria
Description: bacterial SSU rRNA
Rfam family: Bacterial small subunit ribosomal RNA
Source: RNAcentral